AAGGUCAGAGGUCAGAUGAUGACACAUCCGUACUCUCCCCAGUUCAGUCUGUCAGAGCGAGAACAGGCAGAGGCCAGUGUGUGUGUGUGUGUGUGUGUGUGUGUGUGUGUGUGUGUCUGUGUGUGUGUGUGUCUCGCUGAGAGCCACAGAGCAUGACAUGGCAUAUUUUACAUGGUGCGCCUAGCAAGUUGGUGGUUACUGUGACACAGCAACAGGAGGAGUUCACCUGCUUAAGUGAUGAGCAUCCAGGAGCAUCAGCUGACAUUUUCUCAUGAGCUUCUUUUUCUCUCCUCUCCUGUCACGCGGUCACUUUCAUUUCCCAUCUUCAUGUCUUGUCUAUGUUGUGUGAACUAUGUGUCUGUAUCCACAGUGUAGGUAUUAUGUCAUGACAAUAACAU
This is a long non-coding RNA of Sander lucioperca (pikeperch), 398 nucleotides long. RefSeq lists it as uncharacterized. The transcript has 2 exons. The record is from RefSeq and is a predicted model, not a curated record. Lineage: Eukaryota; Metazoa; Chordata; Actinopteri; Perciformes; Percidae.